UGGAAGAAUCUUGGAGUUGGGAAUGUCACACGUAAUUGAAGGAAGAACAAGAAAACUAUAGCAGCUGCUCCCAACCCCAGAACCUUUGCUGUCUUGGGACGGAUCACCGCUGCAAGAGGGGAAGUUGCUACUGUGAUGAAUUCUGCCAUGUGGCACCAGACUGCCACCCAGACCACAGUGUCCUCUGCAACCCUGGUAACUCACAUACAGGCCCGAUUCCACCUACAGCAAAGCUGGAUGCGAUGGCUGGCAGAGGCAAACCCUUUGCCUGCACUUCAGGCCAAAGCCGGGAUGUGGCCUAGAUGGUUCCUAAGCUUCUCAGAUGACCAAGAUGGUGCUGCAGAUGGUGCUGAGGAUGGAGAACCCACCAAGCCCCGCUAGGAGCCACCUAGACUGGAUGCAGAGCAUGGUUCAGCGAGUUCUCCAAACCAGCCUCCCAGGAAUGCCAUUCACCAUGGCUGUGAGGAGAAUAAAGAAGAGAGCCUGACUCCUCUCCUGAGGCCCCUUCCCCACCCUGAGCCAGCA
Molecule: unclassified non-coding RNA, 525 nt
Filed under: Homo sapiens (human)
Lineage: Eukaryota; Metazoa; Chordata; Mammalia; Primates; Hominidae
Description: MUC20 overlapping transcript (ENSG00000281603.2)
Source: RNAcentral